UUGUGUUAACCUAUAGGUAUUAUUACAACUUUACCAUAUAGUAUUUCAUUUGUAUUCAUACACUGCAAUGGAAAGAGUUAAUUGAAUAUACCAGCCUAUAAAUACAACUAAAUACAGACAUUUCUUUAGUUUCUUUCAAAACAAGUCAUCUUUUUCUAUAUUUGUUAUGUUACCACGCUAAAACCAUUGCUAUUGGCUGUCUCCCCACGUUGCUUUGAACAUGAUUGGAUAAUCUGCCUGUCACUCAGAGAACUGGCCAAUGAGAACUGUCCGCGCCUCGGAUUUGAAAUUACGUCUGUUCGAGCGGGAAGCCGCAGCGGGGCAGGCGCUACUCGGCAGGUCUGCUAGUGUCUGCUGUUGACCUACCUGCAUUAUUACCUGAAGUAUUUUACAUAUGCCUGCGAUUUUAACUUGUGGGAUGUCAACGGAGAAAGAAAGACUGGGACACAGAGGAAGGAUCAUACGGGAUGUGGUGACCAGCAAAGUUACGUGAAUUGAUAUCCUGCAAAAUUAUUGAAGAUAUCAGCACUGGACCCUGAGCAGUGCAUGGCCUGCAAGAUCAUGAGAAGGCUGAAGAACCAGGAGUGACAAGAUACCACUGGAUGGUGGGGCACAUAAUUCCACUCGGACAGUGAUCUGAAAAUGUCUGUUUACCAACGGUCCCCAUCCAACCUGACAGAGCGUGUGAGGAUCUGCAGAAAAGAAUGGCAGAACAUCCCCAAAUCCAGGGUAUUGAGUGUAGAUUGAUGAGCUCAAUAAGGAUUGGAACAACAUUGACGGGGGGAAACACCCAAAGUCCAUCAC
Molecule: long non-coding RNA, 804 nt
Organism: Pseudoliparis swirei
Lineage: Eukaryota; Metazoa; Chordata; Actinopteri; Perciformes; Liparidae
Exons: 5
Source: RefSeq, a predicted model, not a curated record